This is a non-coding RNA of Plectropomus leopardus (leopard coralgrouper), 318 nucleotides long. The record is from RefSeq and is a predicted model, not a curated record. NCBI's taxonomy places the organism in Eukaryota, Metazoa, Chordata, Actinopteri, Perciformes, Serranidae.
GGGUGAGCAGCUCGACGUGUCCUGACGAUAAAGAGGAUGGUCCCCACAGUGAUAGAAAAACAAGUACACACUGACAAUGACGGCUGAUUUUUGUUUGAUUUUUAUCGUUUUUUAGGUGAAUACAGAAAAGAUGAGCUGCUGGAAAGUGCACGGAGCGGCAACGAGGAGAAGCUGAUGGCUCUGCUGACGCCGCUCAACGUCAACUGUCACGCCAGCGAUGGGCGAAAGUCGACACCGUUGCACCUGGCAGCCGGAUACAACCGCGUGAAGACGGUCCAGCUGUUACUGCAGCACGGGGCUGAUGUGCACGCCAAGGAC